This 321-nucleotide ribosomal RNA is filed under the name uncultured bacterium. RNAcentral describes it as "bacterial SSU rRNA". It matches the Rfam family "Bacterial small subunit ribosomal RNA", at positions 28 to 334 of the family's 1533-position model. The record is from RNAcentral.
GAUGAACGCUAGCGACAGGCCUAACACAUGCAAGUCGAGGGGCAUCGGGGAGCGAAGCUUGCUUUGCUCCGCCGGCGACCGGCGCACGGGUGAGUAACGCGUAUGCAACCUGCCCGUUUCAGCGGGAUAACCCGGAGAAAUCCGGCCUAAUACCGCAUGUGGCCGAGGGGAGGCAUCUUCUUUCGGCCAAAGGAGGCGACUCCGGAGACGGAUGGGCAUGCGUGACAUUAGCUAGUUGGCGGGGUAACGGCCCACCAAGGCGACGAUGUCUAGGGGUUCUGAGAGGAAGGUCCCCCACACUGGUACUGAGACACGGACCAG